AAUCUUAUGAAGCCGAAUUCCUGGGCACCAGGAAACGGGGGAACCAUCUUUGGGUGAAUUGAUCUCGCAAGUAAGGGAUCAUAGGGAACCUUCAACCGAACCCUCAGCUAACCUCGUAGGCAUUGGAAGGAGUACUA
Molecule: small RNA, 137 nt
Filed under: Paenibacillus selenitireducens
Lineage: Bacteria; Bacillati; Bacillota; Bacilli; Caryophanales; Paenibacillaceae
Description: c-di-AMP sequence
Rfam family: c-di-AMP riboswitch aptamer (ydaO/yuaA leader)
About the family: This family represents a conserved RNA structure found upstream of the ydaO and yuaA genes in Bacillus subtilis and related genes in other bacteria. The ydaO/yuaA element is thought to act as a genetic "off" switch for the ydaO and yuaA genes in its native state. It is believed that the element may be triggered during osmotic shock leading to activation of ydaO, a predicted amino acid transporter gene, and members of the yuaA-yubG operon which code for KtrA and KtrB K+ transporters.
Source: Rfam by way of RNAcentral